RNAcentral lists this non-coding RNA (24 nucleotides) under Arabidopsis thaliana (thale cress). Lineage: Eukaryota; Viridiplantae; Streptophyta; Magnoliopsida; Brassicales; Brassicaceae. The record is from RNAcentral.
AUUCAGAUUAACUGAUGGCAGUCC